CACCAAACUCGUGUUGGAUGGUAAGUUCGUAAAUUCACAUCAACAGUUUGGUCUUUUAUCGUAGUUUCAUAAGGUCUCCUCUCCGUGUAUAUAUAUAUAAUUCGGCCUUCCCGCCCAAUUUAGUCUCAUCUACAUUCCUCCUCUGCUUCUGUUUUGUUUGCUUAGUUGUUCAUAUGAAAAUGCCAGACUUGGGUAAUCUCUCACUCUCUGCAUCUCUUACGCUCACUCGCGGCGCUAAUCUCAAACCAGCCUUCAUCCUUCUGAUCUUUUGUCUUCAGUCAUCUGCAAUGAAUCAGUUAAAUAUAUGCCCAGUGACUCUAUUUGGGACCAGUGGUUUUCAUGUCCGCUCCCCAAUGACGAUGAGGUCGGUGGCAACUAUGGGAUUAGGGUUUCAUGGGCCAGAGGAGAUGCGUUGGACCGAUCUAAAAGGAAUUGCGGUGGGAAGACUUUGGAAGAUCAUGUGAAAUCUUGGGUUCGGAGAAAGCUAGAGUCCGGCGUUCCCCAGUCUCGCUGUUCAUUUCCAUUUCUUGUAGGCUCUCGGAAAAUGGGAAUGAAGCUCUAAAAGACGUUUUUGAAACUGAGCCUAAUGUUUUCGUGCAAGUAUGAUGUUGGAGAAGUUCAUUAUCCUUUGAGAAGUGCUUGGGGAGGAAAUGAUGUAGAUGUUGAGCGUAGAAAUUUAUGUUCGAUUAGCGUAGGAUGAAAAUUAUUGAUCCACUGAAGUUUAUUUUAUCAGAGCCGCUUCAGGUAGAAAAAGAAUGUUUGUGUUGCGGUCGAUAUAUAUUUCCCGGAGAGGAGAUCGAAUGCAGUAUACGUGGUUGUGGAGGAGUUUAUCAUGGUAUAUGUGCAAAGAAAAGCUUGGGGUUCUCAGGUCACAGAACGUUCAAGUGCCCUCCACAUGAGUGCUUUAUAUGCAAACAAAGAUUACAUUGGAAAAGCAUACGGUGUACUCUAGCAUCGCAUGAUAAAUGUGCACCAUGGCCAGAUAAAGUGGUGCAUUUAAAAAAUCAACCUGGAACAGCCAUAUGCUGGAGGCAUCCAUCCGACUGGCAUGUGGACUUAAAGGUCGAUUUCUUCUUUCCUUUACCUCCAACUGUAUUUACUAUAUCAUGUGCAAUGCCUUAAAUGAAUAUAACACCUUCCGAUUUGAGAGUGCUAGAUGUUCUUCAGAUGAAUGCCCGUGCCCAAGGUAAUAGCUUCUUGUGGUCGCUUUCAAUUGUGAAAUGAAAUGAUCACCUUUUUCUUUUGAAGUAAAACACUUCCUCUAUUGUAGCAUGCCUAGAGGGAUGAAUACGUUUGUUCUUGGCAAAAUCCAUGUAAAAUAAUGGUUGCGUGAGGGAUUUAUUGUCUUGUGUUGUUUUAUUUGGCAAUGAAGAUAUUAGCAUUGUGACACUGUAUGUCAUUCAGGCGUAUAAUGUUUUUUUCCCUUGAAAAAUGAAGAUACCUUGUUUUAAUGCUUAUUUAUCUAGAUAGUUUUCUUGUCUUUGACCACUUUCUCUGUUUUUUAAUUCUUUCUUUCUUUCUUUCUUUCUUUCUAGUUGAAGUUUUACUUCUACAUCUGUAUCUUUAUUCUUUAGGCUGGCUGACAGGACUAUUGUAUUUGUUCAAUGGGCAGCAUGCCGUGUCAGUCAGUAAGUGACAUAGAGGCAAGUUGAGGGAGAAACACGUGUUGGUGUCUUUGCUGCUCGAUCAAUCGAGGUUGGAGAGCCAUUAACAUAUGACUACAGAUUUUCUCCCACCGCCGUGUAUCUGGUUCUGCCGCUUGCACUCCCAGCUUUGCAUCUUCAGCAAAUUCCCUCUUCAAAAGACCAUAAACUUCAACCACCAGUUACAAGGAGACGAUCCACGAGAUUGCAGAGAAUGUCUUUGGAAUGCAAAGGGUGGCCUCGAAUGCCUAACAUAUGUCCUCCGAUGGCCAAGAUUUCAACGGCUGUCUGGUCUGAGAAGCCCAUGACUUGAGCUCCAAAAGUUUAUUUUCUGGGUCUCGGCGGAGCUGAAGGUAGCGGCUGCGGCAUAGAUAGGAGGGCUGGAGAUUUGCCUGUUUUGGUUCCAAAAGAAAUGGGUAUGAAGAAGGUAAUGGUGUGCAGUGAAGGUAGAAAUUUGGUGUUGUAUUGGUUCUUUGUCCUUCGUUGAAGAUCAGAUCAUUUGCAGUGGUGAUAUUGGCGGAGACGGCUCAAUCUCUGGUUUUUAUUAAUUCCUCUCUUUUUCACUAAAAAAAUACAUUAUUUGUUAUGUUGAUACAAGGAAUGCAUCUGUAAAUUUUCCCAUGAAAUAUGUUCAAGGGCUGAUUUGGGAUUGUCUUGUUUCUUCUCCUGUCUUUGUAGCGCUACCAAUUAGCUUGUUGCUUUAGUAUAUCAUCAUCUUUUGAAGCAAACCCUUUGAGGGGGAAGCAUCAAGUUAAAGGUGCCUUACUUAAGCAGGCUCUUCUUCAAUGUGUUUCAUUUGAAAAGUAAGAACAUCAUGUCAGAAAUUUGCAUUCUUUUUCUUUC
Cucurbita pepo subsp. pepo (vegetable marrow) is the source of this 2486-nucleotide non-coding RNA. NCBI's taxonomy places the organism in Eukaryota, Viridiplantae, Streptophyta, Magnoliopsida, Cucurbitales, Cucurbitaceae. The record is from RefSeq and is a predicted model, not a curated record.